RNAcentral lists this long non-coding RNA (572 nucleotides) under Heterocephalus glaber (naked mole-rat). RNAcentral describes it as "lncRNA (ENSHGLG00000034026.1)". The record is from RNAcentral. Lineage: Eukaryota; Metazoa; Chordata; Mammalia; Rodentia; Bathyergidae.
CCCGAGAUGGGCUCUUCCUCCACCCAGGUCGCAGACCUCCUUCCUGCCCCACCAGGCAGAGCAGCCCUUAGGGAGCCCCGGCUUUGGGCUCAUGACCCCCAGAAUGGCAAGCCCUUCCUCCAGAGCCUUUUUUGGGAGCAGGGUGGAAUCCCUUUCCAGGCCUCCCUUCAGCACAAAAGCCCCAGGUCAUCUUCUUUUGUGUCCUUCAGUGUCAAGACGGGAACAACCUGGAUGUCUAAAAAGAGGCCCUGAGCCGGGUGUGGUGACACACACCUGUAAUCCCAGCACUCUGGAGGCUGAGGCAGGAGGAUCACCUCCAGUGAGAGGCCAGCCUGGGCUACAUACUCGUGUUUUUCCCUGUGCUUUGCCUCAAGCUGAGGGAGGAGCUGCUCGUGAGGAUGCAGUGCCCCCUGGUGGCUGGAGGGCCUUUCCCUUCUUCCCCUGGGCUUGAUUGAAUGCUGACCUCUGGUCCCCCGAAGUUCUUACCAACGUUUGAGCCAGGAGCUCGCUGUUUCAUUUGUCCUUCACUCUGCAGCUGACCCUGCCAGGCCAGGGUAGGGGCCUGCUUCUGG